AAGAGCAUGGUGUGUGAGCUGAAGGAGGGCUUAGUGGAAAGAAGCCUCCCUGCAAAGCAGCAAAAACAAGCCAAACCAGCACAUGAUCCACACUCUUCGCAAGACAACCUGGUGGACAUCCCUGAGGAUGAUAGACCUACAAAACGUGUGUGUGAUCUGCUUGGAGUGAUGUUCACACGGGAGGAGCUGUCAACACACUCCUGAACUGGAUUAAAGGGAGGCUGUGAAUCAGACUGUGAAUCAGCUUGUCAAUGCCAUUGUUGAGUACACUUUAAAGAAGUUUCCAUCUGCAAACAUUAAUGAGCUAGGAGGGGCAGCAAGAAACAAACUUAACUAUACAAGCUGUCCAGGAAAGGGUAGGUUAAGACAGCAAUUUGUGAUCUAGGGCAGGGUGAUAGAAUAUUUGCCUUCCUAUGGCAUGAGUUUGGGCUGUUUUUUUGCUUUGUAGCCUUGUCAGUCAGUAACUUAAAGGUGCUGUAUAGAUUUUUUUAAUGUAAUGUUUUGUAGAAAAAAGUAAUUUUAUGACUUUGCAUUAUGCUGAUGUAUUAUUUGUUUGUGUGUGUGUAUUUUACAGAUCUUACCACAUUCUAGACGAGGAGUAAAGGAUGUUGGAUACAAUUUCUGAAUUUCUAUAAAUCUGUUUGUAAAAUACGUGUUCUGUGUUUUAUUGUUUUGGUUAUCUCUUUAGUGCAGAUGUUAUUACUUUAAACACAUUUAACAAAAUGUCUAUUACUGGGGUCUGAGCAGAUGGAAUAUGCUAAAUAAUACAACUGUCUUGUAUUUUAUCCCUAUAGUUUCAUUAGUCGGGUUGAUUUUUGCCCUUUUAAUAUUGUUGGUUUGUAUCUGAAAAAUGUUGUGAAUCAGAAAUCAUUCAAUAAAUGUGAUAAGACAACUACAUAAUGUGGUAAUAAAAUAAGUAAAUAAAACUUUUCUGUACCAGAAUUUAGAGUAUCAAAUUGUCAGAUUGUUCUGUUACACAUAAAAAGUGUCAGGUAAGUUUUCAAUCACAUUUUUAUAUUCAAACUGUCUUUUCAACUUGUCUGGUUCAAAUUUAAAUGAACUAUUUCCUUUAAAAGAACAUUAAUGAAUGUAUAUGGUACAUAAUUCUCAUUUUGUUUUUAAAACCUUUUUUCCAGCCUGCUAUAAUGACCUGUCCCGAAUACUCCCAUGAAAAAUGAUAGGACCUGAUGAAAAGUGAGUUCCAUUGGCAAUUCAAGUGCAUUUGUGGUAAGUAAAUUUAUAAAACAAUUAAUUUUUGUCAAAGCAGUUUUAGUAUGACUUCUAGGGGUUAAAUGGAUUGUUGCAAGAUUGAAAGCUUAUAUUUUGCACAUGUUUUGUCUUGCUAGUUUAUACAUUUAAUAGAUUUUAAACCAUUUCAGUGCUAGAAGAGAAUAUAAAAGAGAAUAUAAUUCGGUACUCAUGAGCUGGUAUCAUCUUUCUUUGCUGAAGUCGUUCUUCUGUUGAUUUAGAUGUGUUACGGAUUUUUGUCAUAUUGAAACGUGUAAUUUCUCUUCGCUUGCAGCUUUCUAGCAAACGCUGAUUCAUAACGGUACGAAGCUUCAUGAAGCAGUGUUUUGAAAUCAGCCAUCACUAUACAAGUCGUUAUUUUUUUUUAUUUUUUUUUUGUCGCUCCAAAAAUAUCCUCGUCGCUUUAUAAUAUUAAUAUUGAGCCACUGUACUCACAUGAACUGAUUUAGAUGUGUUUUUAGUACAUUAAUGGAUCUUGAGAGAGGAAAUGUCAUUGCUCCCUACGCAGGCCUCACUGAGCCAUCGGAUUUCAUCAAAAAUAUCUCAAUUUGUGUUCUGAAGAUGAACGAAGGUCUUACGGGUGU
Ctenopharyngodon idella (grass carp) is the source of this 1832-nucleotide long non-coding RNA. RefSeq lists it as uncharacterized. The record is from RefSeq and is a predicted model, not a curated record. Lineage: Eukaryota; Metazoa; Chordata; Actinopteri; Cypriniformes; Xenocyprididae. The transcript is spliced from 3 exons.